AUUGAACGCUGGCGGCAGGCCUAACACAUGCAAGUCGAGCGGUUGCAGGGAGCUUGCUGCUGGAUUCAGCGGCGGACGGGUGAGUAAUGCCUAGGAAUCUGCCUGGUCGUGGGGGAUAACGUCCGGUACCGGGCGCUAAUACCGCUUCCGCAUUGCGGGACAAAGCCGGGGAUCUUCGCACUCGACGCUCUCAGCUGAGCCUAGGUCGGAUUAGCUAGUUGGUGGGGUAAAGGCAUACCAAGGCGACGAUCCGUAACUGGUCUGAGAGGAUGAUCAGUCACACUGGAACUGAGACACGGUCCAGACUCCUACGGGAGGCAGCAGUGGGGAAUAUUGGACAAUGGGCGAAAGCCUGAUCCAGCCAUGCCGCGUGUAUGAAGAAGGUCUUCGGAUUGUAAAGUACUUUAAGUUGGGAGGAAGGGAAGUAAGUUAAUACCUUUCCGUAUUGACGUUACCAACAGAAGAAGCACCGGCUAACUUCGUG
RNAcentral lists this ribosomal RNA (484 nucleotides) under uncultured bacterium. RNAcentral describes it as "partial 16S ribosomal RNA". It matches the Rfam family "Bacterial small subunit ribosomal RNA", at positions 30 to 507 of the family's 1533-position model. The record is from RNAcentral.